AAACCAGCACCUCAAGUGGUCAGGAGGAUUAUUGGGCCUAAAGCAUCCGUAGCCUGUUCUGUAAGUUUUCGGUUAAAUCCAUUAGCUCAACUAAUGGGCUGCCGAAAAUACUGUAGAACUAGGGAGUGGGAGAGGUAGACGGUAUUCGGUAGGAAGGGGUAAAAUCCUUUGAUCUAUUGAGGACCACCUGUGGCGAAGGCGGUCUACCAGAACACGUUCGACGGUGAGGGAUGAAAGCGGGGGGAGCAAACCGGAUUAGAAACCCGUGUAGUCC
This 274-nucleotide ribosomal RNA is filed under the name uncultured bacterium. Its description in RNAcentral is "partial 16S ribosomal RNA". It matches the Rfam family "Archaeal small subunit ribosomal RNA", at positions 473 to 747 of the family's 1478-position model. The record is from RNAcentral.